Molecule: ribosomal RNA, 494 nt
Filed under: uncultured bacterium
Lineage: Bacteria
Description: bacterial SSU rRNA
Rfam family: Bacterial small subunit ribosomal RNA
Source: RNAcentral
AGAGUUUGAUCAUGGCUCAGGAUGAACGCUGGCGGCGUGCCUAACACAUGCAAGUCGAACGAUGGCAGCAAUGUCAUAGUGGCGCACGGGUGAGGAACACGUAGCUGACCUGCCUUACAGCGCGGGACAACCGGUCGAAAGACCUGCUAAUACCGCAUACGGUUCACGUGAUUAGAAGGCGUGAAAGAAAGGCGCAAGCCACUGUGAGAGGGGGCUGCGACCCAUCAGGUAGUUGGGGUGGUAAAAGCACACCAAGCCGACGACGGGUAGCGGGUCUGAGAGGAUGACCCGCCACACUGGGACUGAGACACGGCCCAGACUCCUACGGGAGGCAGCAGUGAGGGAUAUUGCACAAUGGGGGCAACCCUGAUGCAGCGACGCCGCGUGGGUGAUGAAGGACUUCGGUUCGUAAAACCCUUUUACAGGUGACGAGACAAGGACGGUAGCCUGUGAAUAAGCCUCGGCUAACUACGUGCCAGCAGCCGCGGUAAUUC